This 449-nucleotide ribosomal RNA is filed under the name uncultured prokaryote. Its description in RNAcentral is "bacterial SSU rRNA". It matches the Rfam family "Bacterial small subunit ribosomal RNA", at positions 355 to 796 of the family's 1533-position model. The record is from RNAcentral.
UCGAGAAUCUUCCGCAAUGGACGAAAGUCUGACGGAGCGACGCCGCGUGGAGGACGAAGGCCCUCGGGUUGUAAACUCCUGUCACGAGUUAAGAAGGCUAUAUGACGAAUAGUUGUGUAGUUUGACAAAGGCUCGAGAGGAAGCACUGGCUAACUCUGUGCCAGCAGCCGCGGUAAUACAGAGAGUGCGAACGUUGUUCGGAAUUACUGGGCUUAAAGCGCGCGUAGGCGGCGUAACAAGUGUCGGGUGAAAGCCCACGGCUCACCCGUGGAACUGCCCGGCAAACUGUUAUGCUAGAGUGUGGUAGGGGAGAGCGGAACUCAUGGUGGAGCGGUGAAAUGCGUAGAUAUCAUGAGGAACACCGGUGGCGAAGGCGGCUCUCUGGUCCACAACUGACGCUGAGGUGCGAAAGCUAGGGUAGCGAACGGGAUUAGAUACCCCCGUAGUCC